This 30-nucleotide transfer RNA is filed under the name Diadema antillarum. RNAcentral describes it as "partial tRNA-Lys". The record is from RNAcentral. Lineage: Eukaryota; Metazoa; Echinodermata; Echinoidea; Diadematoida; Diadematidae.
AAGACAGUAGUUAAACUCUACUAUUAAGGA